CGUGGGCUAACGAACCCCGGCGCGGGAUGCGCCAAGGAAAACAUAAAACGAAACGCCACCGCACCCCCCGCCCCGUUCGCGGUGCGCUCGGGUGGGUGCGCGCGGCGUCUCCCAUAAUGUCUUAACGACUCUCGGCAACGGAUAUCUCGGCUCUCGCAUCGAUGAAGAACGUAGCGAAAUGCGAUACUUGGUGUGAAUUGCAGGAUCCCGUGAACCAUCGAGUCUUUGAACGCAAGUUGCGCCCGAAGCCAUUAGGCCGAGGGCACGUCUGCCUGGGCGUCACGCAUCGCGUCGCCCCCCCUCCAUCGCCCGCACGGCCGGGCGGUGGGAGCGGGGGCGGAGAUUGGCCUCCCGUGAGCACGAGCGCGCGGACGGCCCAAAUCGGAUCCCCCGGCGGCGCAAGUCACGGCCAGUGGUGGUUGAGGACAUCAACUCUCGUGCUGACAGCCGUGCGCUACCGCGUCGCCUUUCGGGCACCGAAAACGACCCAACCGCGCACUCGCGCCUUCGACCGCGACCCCAGGUCAGGCGGGAUCACCCG
This 541-nucleotide ribosomal RNA is filed under the name Thunbergia coccinea. RNAcentral describes it as "eukaryotic LSU rRNA". The stretch from base 127 to 282 matches the Rfam family "5.8S ribosomal RNA". The record is from RNAcentral. Lineage: Eukaryota; Viridiplantae; Streptophyta; Magnoliopsida; Lamiales; Acanthaceae.